This 406-nucleotide ribosomal RNA is filed under the name Cryptocercus sp. MUDA3. RNAcentral's name for it is "partial mitochondrial 16S rRNA gene". The record is from RNAcentral. Lineage: Eukaryota; Metazoa; Arthropoda; Insecta; Blattodea; Cryptocercidae.
UUACGCUGUUAUCCCUAAGGUAAUUUAGUUUUAUAAUCAAUAUAAAUGGGUCAAAUACAUAUAAAUAAAUAUAAAAUAAAUAAAAAGAGUUAAUUAAAUCUUUCCAUCACCCCAACAAAAUAAAUUUUUACAUUAGAAAUUUUCAUACAAAAAAAAUAAAAAUAUAUAAAACUCUAUAGGGUCUUCUCGUCCCAAAAAAACAUUUAGGCAUUUUAACCUAAAAUUUAAGUUCAAAAAAAAAAUAAAGACAGUUAACACCUCGUCAAACCAUUCAUUCCAGCCUACAAUUAAAAGACUAAUGAUUAUGCUACCUUUGCACGGUCAAAAUACCGCGGCCCUUCAAUAUUCAGUGGGCAGGCCAUACAUCAAAAUAUAUCCAAGAAGAGAUGUUUUUGAUAAACAGGCG